This 321-nucleotide ribosomal RNA is filed under the name uncultured Bacteroidales bacterium. RNAcentral's name for it is "bacterial SSU rRNA". It matches the Rfam family "Bacterial small subunit ribosomal RNA", at positions 28 to 339 of the family's 1533-position model. The record is from RNAcentral. Lineage: Bacteria; Pseudomonadati; Bacteroidota; Bacteroidia; Bacteroidales.
GAUGAACGCUAGCUACAGGCUUAACACAUGCAAGUCGAGGGGCAGCAUGGGAGUUGCUUGCAAUUCCUGAUGGCGACCGGCGCACGGGUGAGUAACGCGUAUCCAACCUUCCCUUAACUUGGGAAUAGCCCGGUGAAAACCGGAUUAAUGCCCGAUGUGGUCCAGCGAGGGCAUCUGACCCGGACCAAAGAAUUUGUCGGUUAAGGAUGGGGAUGCGUCUGAUUAGCUUGUUGGUGAGAUAACAGCCCACCAAGGCGACGAUCGGUAGCCGACCUGAGAGGGUGAUCGGCCACAUUGGAACUGAGAUACGGUCCAGACUCC